This is a long non-coding RNA of Corticium candelabrum, 715 nucleotides long. RefSeq lists it as uncharacterized. The record is from RefSeq and is a predicted model, not a curated record. Lineage: Eukaryota; Metazoa; Porifera; Homoscleromorpha; Homosclerophorida; Plakinidae. The transcript has 4 exons.
ACAUUUGGCAAAUUGGACUCUGCAUGCGGUUCAACUGUUUGUCUGCUGUUUCCAAGGGAUGUUUGUCUUAUUGUGUUCAAUUCACGACGCUUAAGCUUGUGGAGUUGCGGAGCAAUACCAUACAACGACCACAACGAGAUCAAUGGAAAUGGCUGCUGUGCAAGGGCAAUUUUUUUAGCGUACGAACGAAUUCAGACCAGCAAGAACACAGAAAAGUUACAAGCUGCAGCAAAAAAAGAAAAGGAGGGUCAGCGAUUUGUGUGAGAAUGCUUUUGCAAACGCAUCUUCUUUUGUGAAUUCGAUUGAAGACAAUAACUCUAUUGUCUAGAUUUUGGGUUUUGAUCAAAUGACAAGCUGAGAGUGCGCAAGGUUUUGUCCGCAAUACUUACAUACAUACGGCAAAAAGAAAGGUGCCACUUCUGCAGUCAACGCAUAUUGCAGCAUGUCUUCAAGAAAUGCUGGAAGACUAAAAUUUGCUGGUGUGCUGCUUUUCUGUUACCACAUGCAACUGAAGCAGAAGAACAGAAUUUCUAACAAACUGCAUUAUUAGCUAUCAAAUUAUGUGAGUGACGUUCAAUAUACUGCUUGUAGAUGUUUGCUUUUAAGUGAAGACUUUGAUCGAGUACAGUUAUUGGCUGUAAAGGCAUAUAGAGCAUUUUAAAAUGAUCAUAAAAUCAUCAAAAAAUAAAUUCAGAUAUCAUUGUGCCAUUACAAA